AACGAAAUGACUGAGAGGUAAGGUGCACGCCCUGCAAAGCGUGGCUUUUAUCAAAACAGGCUGGACCCCCAUCCCCCUUUUUUGAUAACUCGCCGGUUCGAAUCCGGCUUUCGUUU
RNAcentral lists this transfer RNA (116 nucleotides) under Gammaproteobacteria bacterium. RNAcentral's name for it is "tRNA-Cys". It matches the Rfam family "tRNA". Rfam says of the family: Transfer RNA (tRNA) molecules are approximately 80 nucleotides in length. Their secondary structure includes four short double-helical elements and three loops (D, anti-codon, and T loops). Lineage: Bacteria; Pseudomonadati; Pseudomonadota; Gammaproteobacteria. The record is from RNAcentral.